UCAUUAUUGAUACUUGGGUUCUGGGCCUU
RNAcentral lists this non-coding RNA (29 nucleotides) under Mus musculus (house mouse). Lineage: Eukaryota; Metazoa; Chordata; Mammalia; Rodentia; Muridae. The record is from RNAcentral.